UACGUAGGGUGCAAGCGUUGUCCGGAAUUAUUGGGCGUAAAGGGCUCGUAGGCGAUCCAUCGCGUCGGGAGUGAAAAGCUGGGGCUUAACCCCAGUCCUGCUUCCGAUACGGGUGGACUAGAGGUAGGUAGGGGAGAACGGAAUUCCUGGUGUAGCGGUGAAAUGCGCAGAUAUCAGGAGGAACACCCGUAGCGAAGGCGGCACUCUGGGCCGAUACUGACACUGAGGAGCGAAAGCGUGGGGAGCGAACAGG
This 253-nucleotide ribosomal RNA is filed under the name uncultured bacterium. RNAcentral describes it as "partial 16S ribosomal RNA". It matches the Rfam family "Bacterial small subunit ribosomal RNA", at positions 524 to 776 of the family's 1533-position model. The record is from RNAcentral.